Molecule: ribosomal RNA, 484 nt
Filed under: uncultured bacterium
Lineage: Bacteria
Description: partial 16S ribosomal RNA
Rfam family: Bacterial small subunit ribosomal RNA
Source: RNAcentral
AUUGAACGCUGGCGGCAUGCUUUACACAUGCAAGUCGAACGGCAGCGCGGGCUUCGGCCUGGCGGCGAGUGGCGAACGGGUGAGUAAUGCAUCGGAACGUGCCCAGUAGUGGGGGAUAGCCCGGCGAAAGCCGGAUUAAUACCGCAUACGACCUGAGGGUGAAAGCGGGGGACCGAAAGGCCUCGCGCUAUUGGAGCGGCCGAUGUCGGAUUAGCUAGUUGGUGGGGUAAAGGCUUACCAAGGCGACGAUCCGUAGCUGGUCUGAGAGGACGACCAGCCACACUGGGACUGAGACACGGCCCAGACUCCUACGGGAGGCAGCAGUGGGGAAUGUUGGACAAUGGGGGAAACCCUGAUCCAGCCAUGCCGCGUGCGGGAAGAAGGCCUUCGGGUUGUAAACCGCUUUUGUUCGGGAAGAAAUCCUCUGGGCUAAUACCCCGGGGGGAUGACGGUACCGGAAGAAUAAGCACCGGCUAACUACGUG